Molecule: long non-coding RNA, 234 nt
Filed under: Gossypium barbadense (sea-island cotton)
Lineage: Eukaryota; Viridiplantae; Streptophyta; Magnoliopsida; Malvales; Malvaceae
Description: long non-coding RNA (GBAR_LNC021576)
Source: RNAcentral
AAAAAUAUAAAGCUUCGCCAGCUUCUGCAGAGAAUAGUCAGUACGAAUCGGUGUGAAGUGGGUGGGCUUGGUCAAUCGAUCUACGAUGACCCAUAUUGAAUGCUUCUUAGUAGGAGUAGAGGCAACCCAUUAACGAAAUCCAUAGUUAUGUACUCCCAUUUCCAAAGAGGAAUCUUAGCCGGUUGCAGCAAACCCGAAGAUAACUGAUACUCAGCCUUAACCUGCUGGUAAGUC